CGGUGAUCUAGAUCUGAAGCUCUGUCCAAGAAGCUAGACAGGCCGAGACCCGUUUUCAGCUGGGGUUAUGGCAGCGGAUGGAAUGGCAUUCCACUCCUCCGGUGCUCAUAAUGGAGCCUUUUAGAAUAGGGCUGAGCCUUUCAUUGCUCGUUCGGUUAGCGUGCAUGGUUGCUCUGAGGUGUUGGACCAGCAGUCAUCCCUGCCUGAGUCUCAAGCUUCUCUUCUUAUCUGAACUUGCACUGUUCUUUAUCUCCUCCACUCAUUCACACUGUUUCCAAGCAGAAUGAAAAUCACAGGGAGAUGAGAGCCAAUUUUUUGUCAGUCAAUACUUGAUCUCCUUUGAUCUACUUCAACCAUGGAGGCGAUUGAAGAGUUGUUGCAACUGUCAGACUCGAUGCGCUAAGGCCAGGCCAUCCUCGCCGACGAAGACGUUGACGAAAACUCUACUGCCUCCUCUCGCCGCUCCUCAACUUUCUUCAACGUCGUCGGUCUCGGC
Molecule: long non-coding RNA, 496 nt
Organism: Rosa rugosa (rugosa rose)
Lineage: Eukaryota; Viridiplantae; Streptophyta; Magnoliopsida; Rosales; Rosaceae
Exons: 3
Source: RefSeq, a predicted model, not a curated record